GACGAACGCUGGCGGCGUGCUUAACACAUGCAAGUCGAACGGUAAGGCCCUUCGGGGUACACGAGUGGCGAACGGGUGAGUAACACGUGGGUGAUCUGCCCUGCACUUCGGGAUAAGCCUGGGAAACUGGGUCUAAUACCGGAUAGGACCCUGGGAUGCAUGUCCUGGGGUGGAAAGCUUUUGCGGUGUGGGAUGGGCCCGCGGCCUAUCAGCUUGUUGGUGGGGUGAUGGCCUACCAAGGCGACGACGGGUAGCCGGCCUGAGAGGGUGACCGGCCACACUGGGACUGAGAUACGGCCCAGACUCCUACGGGAGGCAGCAGUGGGGAAUAUUGCACAAUGGGCGCAGCCUGAUGCAGCGACGCCGCGUGAGGGAUGACGGCCUUCGGGUUGUAAACCUCUUUCAGCACCGACGAAGCGCAAGUGACGGUAGGUGCAGAAGAAGGACCGGCCAACUACGUGCCAGCAGCCGCAGUAA
Molecule: ribosomal RNA, 477 nt
Filed under: uncultured bacterium
Lineage: Bacteria
Description: partial 16S ribosomal RNA
Rfam family: Bacterial small subunit ribosomal RNA
Source: RNAcentral